AACCUAGAAUUUUAUAAGGUGAUCCCUGUCUCCCCAUGACUGACAUUCUUCAUGGGGAAGGCAAAAGUUUUAGGCCUGAAGAGUAUUUAGUUAAUUCAAGGAUUUAUCUACAUGUUUAUUUGAGACCGAGCAUGUAUAAAUUUGGAUUUCCUAAAGAUAAGAUUAUGACGGUUUUAACUACGAAAACAUUGAAAUUUUAUGAAGAUUUUGAAAUUGGAUCAUGAUGAAGGUAAGAGUGAAGAAGAAGGCGCCAAUAUUGGGUUGCAAGAUGGGAGGAGGACCUCUAUUGGUUGAAAAACAUCCAUAGCUAUCAUACCUGAAUGAUCACAUUUGCAGCUUUAAAAUACUUUUUUUCGCAGUUUCGUUUUCACCUGCCUUCGUUCAUUUUUGCAGAUUUGGUAAAUUUUGACGGAUUAGAGAGACAUAAGAAGAAUACAGGUGUGAGCCGUGAAGCAAAGAUUGAUUCAAUGUUAUGGAUUUCUGAAUGUUUGCAAGCCAACCUGUUCACCGUUGAUGUAUAAAUAUGUGGAACUUCGUAUCUGUAAGUUAGUCUUUUUUUUUUGUCAUUGGGUGUGCACACAGUUAGAACACGUUUCAGGUUUCAGAAAUGGUUUUAAUGGCAUCAAUUUCUAAGGAGUCACUACUAUUAGCUUGGUUUUAAUGGCUACACUAGAUUGUGGGAGUCUUUGUUUGUAGUCGUUCUCCAAAUAAAGGUGCAAGAAGUUUGAUGUGUAUAUUGAAUAGGCUAACAACUCAUAGCAAGUAAAUUUUGUGGAAAUCAUCUCUUUCCGUUUCA
This is a long non-coding RNA of Papaver somniferum (opium poppy), 796 nucleotides long. RefSeq lists it as uncharacterized. The transcript is spliced from 2 exons. Lineage: Eukaryota; Viridiplantae; Streptophyta; Magnoliopsida; Ranunculales; Papaveraceae. The record is from RefSeq and is a predicted model, not a curated record.